This 402-nucleotide ribosomal RNA is filed under the name uncultured bacterium. RNAcentral describes it as "bacterial SSU rRNA". It matches the Rfam family "Bacterial small subunit ribosomal RNA", at positions 917 to 1322 of the family's 1533-position model. The record is from RNAcentral.
GGGCCCGCACAAGCGGUGGAGCAUGUGGUUUAAUUCGAUGAUACGCGAGGAACCUUACCAGGGCUUAAAUGUAGUGGGACAGGUCUAGAGAUAGACCCUUCUUCGGACUCAUUACAAGGUGCUGCAUGGUUGUCGUCAGCUCGUGCCGUGAGGUGUCAGGUUAAGUCCUAUAACGAGCGCAACCCCUAUCGUUAGUUGCCAGCGAGUAAUGUUGGGUACUCUAGCGAGACUGCCGGUGCAAACCGUGAGGAAGGUGGGGAUGACGUCAAAUCAUCACGGCCCUUACGUCCUGGGCUACACACGUGCUACAAUGGCCGGUACAGAGAGCAGCCACUACGCGAGUAGGAGCGAAUCUUCAAAGCCGGUCUCAGUUCGGAUCGCAGUCUGCAACUCGACUGCGUG